This 1252-nucleotide long non-coding RNA is filed under the name Oncorhynchus kisutch (coho salmon). Its description in RNAcentral is "lncRNA (ENSOKIG00005016805.1)". The record is from RNAcentral. Lineage: Eukaryota; Metazoa; Chordata; Actinopteri; Salmoniformes; Salmonidae.
CAAGUGCAAGCAGCUCUGAGUACCGAAUGUUAAAACAUCCAACAUAAGCAUUUUCGGACUUUUACAAUCAGAUGAUAAAAAAAAAUAUUUUUUAAUGAAAAGCAUUAUUUAUUAUAUUGUUGUAUGCAAUGUCAUAAAACCUCUAAUGCUUCUACCAAACAGUUGGCUAUAGUAAAGCGUGAUAGUGACAGAAUAUAUUGCCACAGUUUUGAAUGCUGAUACGAUUGGCUACAGAGGAAUAGCUGUACCUUGAUUUACCGUCAAGGCUUCUCAGUUCCUUCAAAGACUUCAAAGACAAUCUCACUUAGACCUUCACGUGGUGUCUUCCUGUAUGACUUAGGUUAAAGUUAAAAACCCAUACACGUGAUUGUUUGGGACAAAAUAUUUUGUGAAAAACAAUGUUUAGCCAGAGUGACAAGUGACCUUCUUGUCACUUGUGGAGUGUCACAGGAGGCCAAAGGAGCUAAUUACUCACUUAAGCGGGCGCACACACACUCACACAGAAACAGACACAGAUAUACACACACACACACACACACACAUACACACACACACACACACACACACACACACACACACACACACACACACACACACACACACACAGAGUAAAUACUCACACAGAGACACACACUCAACCCAAGCUAAUCCCUGGGAGGUGGACGGUAUGGUGAGGUAAUGUUUACAUGCCCCUGUCUUAGGGGACUUAGUGCGUGACUCAUAAACCCAUUACAAACAUUCUGGCGAUACUCCGGUCAACGGGUUAAACUGCUGAGUCUGUUUUUCCUCUUUCCUUCCUUCCCUUGUUCCCUCCCUCUUCCCCUCAUUCUAUGAGAGAGGACUUAGUGAGUAAAGCCGGUGGCUGAUCGCAUGAGACACGGGUUCACCAAGUCCCUCUGAAACGCACAGCUCGACAGAAAGUGACGGGCCGAGAGGAACGGGUCGGGCUAUUAAGGAUGGGGUCACGGCCCAAUCACUGGCGGUAUAUCUGCCCACCAGUCAGAUCCUCCGUCACCCUCACCCGUCCAGGCCCAGGUCGACGACAGGGGAGAGAGAGUGUCAGACGGGAGAGGAGGUUGUCCUUGAUUGGUUCAACAGACACAUCCGAUCGCUAAAUCAUCUACACUCUUAGAAAAAAGGGUUCCAAAAGGGUUCUGCUGCUGUCCCCAUAGGAGAACCCUUUUUGGGAAGGGAAAGGGUAUAUCUAGUCAGUCGCACAACUGAAUGCAUUCAACCAAAAUGUGUCUUCCGC